This 288-nucleotide ribosomal RNA is filed under the name uncultured bacterium. RNAcentral describes it as "partial 16S ribosomal RNA". It matches the Rfam family "Bacterial small subunit ribosomal RNA", at positions 542 to 829 of the family's 1533-position model. The record is from RNAcentral.
UGUCCGGAUUUACUGGGUGUAAAGGGUGCGUAGGCGGCUAUGCAAGUCAGAUGUGAAAUCUAUGGGCUCAACCCAUAAACUGCAUUUGAAACUGUAGAGCUUGAGUGAAGUAGAGGCAGGCGGAAUUCCCCGUGUAGCGGUGAAAUGCGUAGAGAUGGGGAGGAACACCAGUGGCGAAGGCGGCCUGCUGGGCUUUAACUGGCGCUGAGGCACGAAAGCGUGGGUAGCAAACAGGAUUAGAUACCCUGGUAGUCCACGCUGUAAACGAUGAUUACUAGGUGUGGGGGG